CAUUUAGAGGAAGUAAAAGUCGUAACAAGGUUUCCGUAGGUGAACCUGCGGAAGGAUCAUUACCGAACCGUUGACACGAGUUGUUGCUGGUCCUCGAAAGGGGGCACGUGCACGCUCUGUUUACACAUCCACUCACACCUGUGCACCCUCUGUAGUUCUGUGGCCUUGGGGACCCUGUUCCCCUUGCUGUGGUCCUACGUCUUUACACACACACUGUAGCAAAGUCUCAUGGAAUGGAUGUCGCGUUUAACGCAAUACAAUACAACUUUCAGCAACGGAUCUCUUGGCUCUCGCAUCGAUGAAGAACGCAGCGAAAUGCGAUAAGUAAUGUGAAUUGCAGAAUUCAGUGAAUCAUCGAAUCUUUGAACGCACCUUGCGCCCUUUGGCUAUUCCGAAGGGCAUGCCUGUUUGAGUAUCAUGAACACCUCAACUCUCAUGGUCCGCCAGAUGAGCUUGGACUUUGGGGGUCUUGCCGGCCUAGCGUCGGCUCCUCUCAAAGGAUCAGCUGCCCAGUGUUUGGUGGCAUCACAGGUGUGAUAACUAUCUACGCUUGUGGUUUUCUACCAUGUAACCUUCAGCGAUGGAGGUUCGCUGGGGCUCACAGACGUCUCUCCUUGGAGGACAGCUCUUUGAACGUUUGAUCUCAAAUCAGGUAGGACUACCCGCUGAACUUAAGCAU
This 679-nucleotide ribosomal RNA is filed under the name uncultured Tomentella. RNAcentral describes it as "eukaryotic LSU rRNA". The stretch from base 264 to 418 matches the Rfam family "5.8S ribosomal RNA". Lineage: Eukaryota; Fungi; Basidiomycota; Agaricomycetes; Thelephorales; Thelephoraceae. The record is from RNAcentral.